AAUCCAUAGGUUAAUGAGGCGAACCGGGGGAACUGAAACAUCUAAGUACCCCGAGGAAAAGAAAUCAACCGAGAUUCCCCCAGUAGCGGCGAGCGAACGGGGAGGAGCCCAGAGCCUGAAUCAGCAUGUGUGUUAGUGGAAGCGUCUGGAAAGGCGCGCGAUACAGGGUGACAGCCCCGUACACAAAAGCGCAUGUGCUGUGAGCUCGAUGAGUAGGGCGGGACACGUGGUAUCCUGUCUGAAUAUGGGGGGACCAUCCUCCAAGGCUAAAUACUCCUGACUGACCGAUAGUGAACCAGUACCGUGAGGGAAAGGCGAAAAGAACCCCGGCGAGGGGAGUGAAAAAGAACCUGAAACCGUGUACGUACAAGCAGUGGGAGCACCCUUUGGGGUGUGACUGCGUACCUUUUGUAUAAUGGGUCAGCGACUUAUAUUCUGUAGCAAGGUUAACCGAAUAGGGGAGCCGGAGGGAAACCGAGUCUUAAUUGGGCGUUAAGUUGCAGGGUAUAGACCCGAAACCCGGUGAUCUAGCCAUGGGCAGGUUGAAGGUUGGGUAACACUAACUGGAGGACCGAACCGACUAAUGUUGAAAAAUUAGCGGAUGACCUGUGGCUGGGGGUGAAAGGCCAAUCAAACCGGGAGAUAGCUGGUUCUCCCCGAAAGCUAUUUAGGUAGCGCCUCGUGAAUUCAUCUCCGGGGGUAGAGCACUGUUUCGGCUAGGGGGCCAUCCCGGCUUACCAACCCGAUGCAAACUGCGAAUACCGGAGAAUGUUAUCACGGGAGAC
This 785-nucleotide ribosomal RNA is filed under the name Salmonella enterica subsp. enterica serovar Havana. RNAcentral's name for it is "partial 23S ribosomal RNA". It matches the Rfam family "Bacterial large subunit ribosomal RNA", at positions 161 to 985 of the family's 2925-position model. Lineage: Bacteria; Pseudomonadati; Pseudomonadota; Gammaproteobacteria; Enterobacterales; Enterobacteriaceae. The record is from RNAcentral.